This 30-nucleotide non-coding RNA is filed under the name Homo sapiens (human). Lineage: Eukaryota; Metazoa; Chordata; Mammalia; Primates; Hominidae. The record is from RNAcentral.
UGCCACGAAAGAGCCCAGGACCCACAGGAC